UCCAGACUCCUACGGGAGGCAGCAGUCGGGAAUAUUGCGCAAUGGAGGAAACUCUGACGCAGUGACGCCGCGUAUAGGAAGAAGGUUUUCGGAUUGUAAACUAUUGUCGUGAGGGAAGAAAUUGACAGUACCUCAGGAGGAAGCUCCGGCUAACUACGUGCCAGCAGCCGCGGUAAUACGUAGGGGGCAAGCGUUAUCCGGAAUUACUGGGUGUAAGGGGAGCGUAGACGGUGAUGUAAGUCUGGAGUGAAAGGCGGGGGCCCAACCCCCGGACUGCUCUGGAAACUAUGUGACUGGAGUGCAGGAGAGGUGAGCGGAAUUCCUAGUGUAGCGGUGAAAUGCGUAGAUAUUAGGAGGAACACCAGUGGCGAAGGCGGCUCACUGGACUGUAACUGACGUUGAGGCUCGAAAGCGUGGGGAGCAAACAGGAUUAGAUACCCCAGUA
Molecule: ribosomal RNA, 445 nt
Filed under: uncultured bacterium
Lineage: Bacteria
Description: bacterial SSU rRNA
Rfam family: Bacterial small subunit ribosomal RNA
Source: RNAcentral